This is a long non-coding RNA of Anopheles gambiae (African malaria mosquito), 2292 nucleotides long. RefSeq lists it as uncharacterized. The transcript is spliced from 2 exons. The record is from RefSeq and is a predicted model, not a curated record. NCBI's taxonomy places the organism in Eukaryota, Metazoa, Arthropoda, Insecta, Diptera, Culicidae.
UAUUUAGUGCCUCAAAGUAGUAUAUCCUCUUUGCCAAGCGUUUGAGUUGAACUAAUUCGCAAAAUGUGAAGAGAGCGUUCGGCCCCCCUUCAAAUGCUUCGAGAGAGUGAAGCUCCUCCCCUUCCUCCAUUCGUCAUCCAUCAAUUUUUCUCCACGCACUCACACAUCUACACGCGCAGCUGUUCGCAUGGCAACACGUGAGAUGCGUGACAUGCUUUCUCGCUCAUCACGAAGGAUUUGCUUCGAAAGAGCUCGGCUUGGUUGGUUGGGGUACUGGUGGUUUUGUACGCGUAGGAGGGGGGGGGACAUACGGAGCGAUGGUUCGAUGCUGUAGUGUAAGCGAGACAACACGAUGUGACGAGCAGAUCCAAGUUGGUGAGCUCGCUGAAAGAAGACACACACAUUCACAGACGGCUCGUCAAAGCACGGUAUUUGUAUUGGUGUUAGUGAAGCGCGCGUGUAAAACAGAAUGCGAACUCUCAUCGCAGCGCGUUUCUCCUUGCUUCCUCAAGCUUCCACAUACCCCUCGGCCUGAAUCACUCAAAAUUUGGGGACUCAUUGUUUGCGUGGUAGCUUUGAAGGAAUCAUUCGACACACUCGCACUCCACUACCCCAUCCCUUGGAAAAACGCUCCCACCAUCGAGGUGUUGACCAAAAUUUCGCUGUGUGCAUGAGACACACACUAGCACUCCUCCAGCCCUCCAUAACCGAUCGCUCCCACCGUUGCGAAGAAGGGAGAAGUUUUGCUCUGAGCGUGAGACCCUGUCAAAUGCAGCGAAUAUCAUUAAGUGUUAAUAGAAAAGUGGUAAAGUUAAUCGUGACAGAUGUCAACGCACGCGUAAAUUCCAUUUUUUUGUUACUUGAUCUACGGGUAAGUGUAUGCAUAAAACGAAGAAUGAUCCAAAUGAUGUUUGUCUUCUAACAAUCGUACUGCUUACAAUGUUUAUUUAUUCUUCUGUUAUUUUCCAUCACACCUAGCUAUUUCAUUACCAAAGCUCCUGAUAACAGAUCAAAGCGGGCUUACAAAGUCGCCGUUUAAUUUAAAAUAUCUUCGUGAUCGGUAAGUUUUAAAUAGUACUAGUUUUGUUCACCAUUCUAAUUCUCAAUUUAUCUUUCAUUCCUCUGGAAAACGCAUCAAACAGCAAGUGUUUUUCUUCCAACAGCACGCGCCAUCGGUGGAGCAAGCAGGCAACAUUUUGUUCGCCCAGCACGCACCAUCAUGAAUUGAAAUAUUCUUGAAUAGCUCUGUGAAUAAAAAACUGCACAGUUACUGCCCGAAUUUCCUGGAAUUUUUUGAUCUGUCUACGCUCGCGGGAAUGGUGGGUUCGUUGAGGAGAAGGAAACAAAGGGUGGGAGCGAGGAUUAACCAAAAACGCGGCAUUAAGAAUGAGGAGACCCAAGUAGCAGAACCGAAGUUUUUCAGAGAUUUUUCUGUGUGCCCAAGCGAGAUGCCUUGUCUUCUCUCUCUAGAUUUUGGACAGCAAACCGCCGCGCGUGUGUGCGUGUGACGAAAAAUGAUGGAUGAAAAACGCGAGGAGCGGGGUCUGAAGUCUUUCGUUGGUCACACACACAUGCAUCUACCAGCGGAUUGCGCUACACCAAGUCUACCCAUCUUUCUCGAUCUACCAUGAUUUUUUCUGCUAUCGCGCUCAUCCGGGUGUUAGGCAUCCUCAGUCUGUCCAGAACUUUCGUUGUGGAAGGAUGUGCGGGAGUGAUGUGCGAUUUCUUGUGUCCCCUACUUUCCUUGUUUACGUUUUGCGCAGUGUUGCUUCUUAUUCCAUUGUGGAAUGAUUUAUCCUAGCUAACUUGUUGAGGCAAGUUUCUUGAUCUCAUUGUGCUUCAAUGUACCAAUUCAACUAAUGCUUAUCGUUUUCAAAGUUACAGGUGCAUGCGCCAUUCAUCAACGCCUACGUGUUGGCAUCAUCAACAAUCUUCAAAAUGGGUGACGGAAGGAAAUUGUUUUCCAGUUUUAAAAUAUUAAGCGUUCAGCACAACUCAGCCACAAAACAACGCACUGGAUUGCGCUAAGAACCUGUCGAAACGCGCGCAGCCCCCGGGAGCGGUAGGAGAAAGGAAGAAUGAGAGGAGGAAAAACUAAAACCAGCGCGCAGCUCUGAUGGUACUCUGGACGCGGUAAGAAGAAACAAGAUCGAGAGGAGGAAGAACGGUAAAUUUGGAAGGGGGAGACCGUUCUGCCGUCUACAUAGUGUGAGUAUGCCAAAGCACGUGUUGGAAGGGAGAGAAAAAGUUGGAAUAAACCUCAUGCGAAUGUGUGCAUACAGCAAAUGUAAA